UUUAAAGUCUUAAACUAAAUUAACAUAAACUAGUAACAAAAAGAAGCAUACUCUAAAAUAAUGUUUGAAUUGAAAAUUUAUUUUUGAGUAUUAAAUUUAAAAUUAUUAAAAUUCCCCUAAGAGCAGAACAUAUGUGCUAGAGCCAAACUGCCGAUAUGUGCCAAACUGCUCACCAUUUGAAAGAACGGUCGUUCAUUUUUUAAGUGAAGGAACGGAUCCGUUAAUUGUAAGGAUUCAUUGUUUUUGACUCAUUCAUUCAAGAACAACACAUCCCUAAAAUGUGCACCUACCUUGACUAUGCGGCAUGCAAAAAGAGAUGCUUUUAGAACCUUAGUUUCUACUUAUCUUGUUCCAUGGUUGCCACUCAGAAACGCAUCACAACCCAAAAUUAUGACGUCAUCAAGCUUACCAGACCUGAACAUUUAUCACAAUGCAAAUUUUGUUUUUAAUUUUCAAUGUUGUGUUAAAAGUUCAGAAAUUCUCAAGGAGGGAAUAUACAGCAUCUGAGAAUUUAGUACUUUGAUAGGACAUAGAGGACAACAUAUUUUUGUGACAUGCCUGCAACUUUUGGAUAUGUUGCUGGUGUUGGUCCAGGAUGGUUGGUGUUUCAAUUGAGGUGGAGGAAUUUCACUUCAAGCUAAAACAUCUUAACACUUUCUCUUGGCACAGUAUAGCCUAGAAAGGCUCUUGUGCCAUUAAACCCUAGUAGAACCAACCAAGCUAAUGCCAGGCCCCUUGCAUCCGAGGAUGAUGCAUUGCAGUUUUUUACAUGACCACCUGAUUCUUGUGUCAUCAAUAAACAUGCAGUUGGUUUACAAAUGGGUUUACCAGUGCAACAAGAAGGUGCUGGUGGAUAUGCAGUGGAAAAGAUGAUCUACCCCUUCUGUUAACUGUGGAAAUUUGGGCAGUGGAGCUCGCUGAAAACAUCGUCCAAAACAUUCUGGAUAUUUGUUGCAAAAAUGAUGAGUAAGAAGCAAAGCUUACAGGCUGAACGAAGAAAUAUUAAAAAGUGGUAUAGCGUUUCAAAAGAUGUAAACAGCUUUAGGAAGACAAGAAUUGUUUACUGGUCGUGCAAAGAUAGUUUUUGGUUCAUGAAAAUGUAAUUUAUGUGUAGAGAUGUAUAAACCUCAUGAUUAUAAAAUUUUUUUUAUGAUUCAUCAAACUUUUCACAUUAGAGUGAAUGAAAGGCCCUGUAUCUAACGUUGUACUAAAAUGUUUUGUUGUGUGUAAUA
Molecule: long non-coding RNA, 1232 nt
Organism: Uloborus diversus
Lineage: Eukaryota; Metazoa; Arthropoda; Arachnida; Araneae; Uloboridae
Exons: 4
Source: RefSeq, a predicted model, not a curated record